GUAGGUGGCAAGCGUUGUCCGGGAAUUAUUGGGGCGUAAAGCGCGCGCAGGCGGUUCUUUAAGUCUGAUGUGAAAGCCCACGGGCUCAACCGUGGAGGGUCAUUGGAAACUGGAGAACUUGAGUACAGAAGAGGAAAGCGGAAUUCCACGUGUAGCGGUGAAAUGCGUAGAGAUGUGGAGGAACACCAGUGGCGAAGGCGGCUUCCUGGUCUGUAACUGACGCUGAGGCGCGAAAGCGUGGGGAGCAAACAGGAUUAGAUACCCUGGUAGUCCACGCCGUAAACGAUGAGUGCUAAGUGUUAGGGGGUUUCCGCCCCUUAGUGCUGCAGCUAACGCAUUAAGCACUCCGCCUGGGGAGUACGGCCGCAAAGGCUG
RNAcentral lists this ribosomal RNA (375 nucleotides) under uncultured organism. Its description in RNAcentral is "partial 16S ribosomal RNA". It matches the Rfam family "Bacterial small subunit ribosomal RNA", at positions 527 to 896 of the family's 1533-position model. The record is from RNAcentral.